This 260-nucleotide ribosomal RNA is filed under the name uncultured fungus. Its description in RNAcentral is "partial small subunit ribosomal RNA". Lineage: Eukaryota; Fungi. The record is from RNAcentral.
GAUUUAUAUUUAUUAUCUUUAUUACAGUACAUUAUUGUAAUAUAAGAAUAUAAUAAAAUAAAUCAUCAUCGAAAAGAUUAUAUUUUGGUCAUUUAUUUGUCUAGUAUAAGAUUUUCGUCAUUUACUGUGAGUAAAAUAGAGUGUUCAAAGCAGGCUUAAGCUGUUGAAUAUAUUAGCAUGGAAUAAUAAGAUAAGACCUUGGUCGUUAAUAAUAUUAUGUAUGUAAUAUUAAAUUUUGUUGGUUUAUUGUUAUCAAGGUA